CAGCUCGUCAGCAGGCAGUGUGACCGUGUCUCACGCUUAUGCAUUAUGAAACUGUUGUUAGCUUAGAUAUUUAUAAUACUUUGCUAGAUCGGGCAGCGGAGACGUACAUGCCGCAUCUGCUUUGAUUUACAGUCCGAUUAGUCAAGCUUAUUUACAGGUGGUACUGUAGUAACUGAUCGUUCAAAUUCUUUGUGUUUCAAUCUCAGCGAAUCGCUUCAUUUAUUUACAUUCGAAAUCGAUGGCCCAACCUACCCGCUGAUAGAUGGACACCAAUUCUAUUGCAACACUGCCGAUGCAGACCGGGGAAUCGAAUAGCUGCAGUCUAGGGCAGAACGUUUGGGAGGUAUUACCUAGAGUGUCAAAGACAGCCAUCAAUUACCUUCUGACUUUGGCCACGCUGCACACCUGAUCAAAGCUGUCUUUGUGAUCAACUCGGCACGGUUCAAGGCAGGCUGUACGACGCAGGCUGAACGGCUGAUCUUCACACACAGUGAGAGACACUUAAACAUUUACACAGUGAGCAGCACAGCACAGGCUUGUGUCAGUGUCAGCUCCAUGCUGUUAUAGCGAGUAGGGGAAGGCGACAGACGCCAGUGUUAGCUCUUCAGGUUCAGAAGUCAGUGUUCGCAAGAAGAGGAAACAUCCAGAGCUGCAAGUCGCUGCGAAGCCGACAGGUCAAAUUCUUCGUUGGUAUUAUAGCUCGUUUGCAUCGUGUGGUGCCAGUGACACAGCAACAACACAAGGUGCUGGACGAAGAAGUGUGCUUACCCGUACUAGAGGGUCAUAGUCUGACACUGCAGAUGAGUGGUGCUAUGUGAUCAUGUGUACAGAUCUGAGCUCUCCACAGACGUGGUUACAUAUAGGACUUCACAUAGACGUGGGUAUAUAAAACUUCACAUAGACGUGGGUUUACAUAGAAGAACUCCACAGAGACGUGGUAAUAUAGCAUUCACCAUGGACAUGGCAUCACUAUAGCUCGGACUAAAACAGAUUUGACCAACCCAGAAAUCACUAGAAGUGGAAUCUACAAGCAGGUGUUGAAGAAUCCGCCACCGUGUGAAGUGAUACUCGUUAUGUCAGCAGUGGCCUCUAAAGCCGCCUGAAGCAUCAUCUCAUCACGUUAGCAGCUUCCCUGUCUAGUAGCAGUGUGAGAUAUCAGCUGUAGUUUGCUUUUGCUGCGACCAUCAUGCGAGAGGAAGACAUUGAGACUGCCAUUAAGGUGGUGAUUGUAGGCAACGGUGCUGUCGGCAAGUCGUCGAUGAUCCAGAGGUUCUGUAAAGGAAUCUUCACAAAGGAAUACAAAAAGACGAUAGGGGUGGACUUCCUGGAGCGACAGAUCACAGUAAAUGGUGAGGACGUUAGACUGAUGCUGUGGGACACGGCGGGACAGGAAGAGUUUGAUGCGAUCACGAAGGCUUACUAUAGAGGGGCGCAGGCUUGUGUACUCACAUUUUCAACUGUAGACCGAAACUCGUUCGACGCCAUAGAAAAGUGGAAGAAGAAGGUGGAAGCUGAAUGUGGCUAUGUGCCCAGUGUACUGGUACAGAAUAAGAUGGACUUGGUGGAACAGUCAGUAGUAAACAAGGAGGAGGCGGAAGCACUCGCUAAGCGACUGAAGCUGCGACUUUAUCGGACAUCUGUGAAGGAAAACCUACACGUCGACGAAGUUUUCAGGUAUCUGUCUGACAAAUACAUGUUACUGAUGAACAGCUGUGUAGAUGAUGGCCAAAUGCAGAGAAUCGGUGGACCAAACGUGUUCACGACGGGAAAUGGCAUCGAUAACAGAAAUGGCAAUGAAAAACAUCAGACCAUCCAACUGCACCCAAACAAGAGACGCACUCAGGGGAAGAAAUCGGUCAUUGGGAAAUGCUCUCUUCUGUGAUUUCUUGAAUAUUAUUCACUUUCCGGUGCAUUGGGGGCAAAAGUGCAAAUGUGGAUUCGCAUUUCCUUGUGCUCUGGGCAGGUCUGAUAUAGUCAGGGUAGUAGUCAUGCACAUAUAAAAGAGCUGUUCAACUGUUCGUCUCAUAUUGAAGGCUUUAGAUGUCAGUGAUAUGUGGCGCCCUCUGUGGCACAUUACAACUGCUGCAGUCCUUUAUCAUCUACGACUACUUCUAGGUGGAACGUGGAGUAAGGUAUAUUCACCUGUGAAUCGGUGGAUACAUGUUGCUUGCCUUAAUUACGUUCACCGAGUGCAACUGUGUGCUCUUAUAAACCAUGACCGAUAAAAAGCUGCGAUUUUCUGCCAUAUAGAACACAUUGCCGCCGCUUUUAUAAUAUGAUGAUUAAAUGUAUAAAAAUCAAUUAAAAAACUGUGUCUCAGUAUAUUAGAAAGAAGUUGCUUAGGAAAGGUUCUAGCCAUCUAGUGAUUAUGUCAGAAUGAUCGAUUUGAUGAAGUUAAUCAAACGUAAUGUCACGAUUGAGUUUGGUCAAGCGGUCUGCUGUAAUAUGCCAUUUAUUAUGGUGACCUGCAUUAGCUGGUCAAUAAUUUCUCAUAUUAUGGAUACUACUGUGGGUUAAUGUGUGUGGCACUAAGGAAUUAGUGAAUGCAUAGCACGUUUUAACAGGUGUGUACAAAUGGUGAUUGACAUUUUCACAUUCCAGCUUGUGUAAAACGCCAAUCACUUUUAAGUGGGUUGCAUGCAGCUGGAUAACUCCUAGUCAGGUGCAUGCAUUUAUUUAACCGAUAAUAUCUGAAUAGCUACUUUUCAAAAUUUAACUAUGUGUCGUGGUGAAUUUGAAUGCUGCUCCUAUUACUAUGACUUUAUUUUCGUGUCGACAGCAGUAAUCUCAUAUUGUACUGCAGUGUUAUUGCAGAAAUAUAUUUGUAAUGGUUAAAAGUAGUGACGAGGAAAUGGAACGAAAAUACGCCAUAGGUCCGUCCGUUUUUGCUAAGGAUAGGGGAGGGUUAUAUUUAUACACAGUCAUUCCACGCUGGAAUGUCGCUGAUAGUUUUUGAGAAUUUUUUUCAUGCGUUGAGACUCCUAUAGUAAUUUCAUACGAACGUGUUGUACCGUGUUAUAUCGAUAUAUAUAUAUAUAUGCAUUCGCAUGGAAGGUUCUUUAUCAGGAAUGCAUAAUAUAGAGUUUUCUACAUUCUGCACUCCUGCCUUUAUGUGUAACUACCUGCUUGCUUAGCCAUGUUACCUCUUUUAUAAGAUUCUGCCGAAACUUGCAUUCAUAGAGUUAUUUUUGCAUAAGUGUCUGUGUGAUUCUAUAUACUGUCAACAUGGUGCCGUGUUUCUCAGUAAUGACUGUUGUCAAAGAUUGGCGUGCUGUUGUUAUGCUUUUGUCACAGCUUGCCAAUUAUAUAGCGGCAUGACAUGCCAAACUCUAAUUAUGUAUCGUAUAUUUCUGUAUAUGUAUAUUUAUCUUGUGAUAUUUCAGUGAUGUGUGAUGUACGUAAGUAACGAUGUCAGUGCGAAGUCGCUAAUUUUCAAUGUCAACAAUUUUGUAUAUAAAUCUCAACUAUAUCAUGAAAUCAAGUUGAUUUGUUACGUGGCUGGUGGGCCAAGUGCUGAAGGGGUUGAGCAAUGGCCCAAGGUCAGGGAAGGACGAUAGGGGGAUAUAAAGCCAAGGCCCAAGGUCAGGGAAGGACGAUAGGGAGAUAUAAAGCCAACGCCCAAGGUCAGGGAAGGACGAUAGGGUGAUAUGAAGCCAAGGCCCAAAGUCAGGGAAGGACGAUAGGGGGAUAUAAAGCCAACGCCCAAGGUAAGGAAAGGUCAAUGGGGGAGAUGAAACAAAGGCCAAGAGCAAAGGAAGGACGAUAGGGUGAUAUGAAGCCAAUGUCUGAGGUUAGGGAGGACGACGGGGGAUAGGAAGCCAGUUCCUAAGGUCAGGGGAGGACGACGGGGGAUCAUAGGAAGUGAUGCUUGUGGAGAAGAGAAGUCAAUUAAUCCGUUUUAAAAUGAAAGAAAAAUAACACUUAUUGUAUGAUCAAUUUAAUUAAUCAAAUUUUUAUCUGCCCCUGUCCUCAAUCAUCAGUGGCAUCAUAUAAUCCUAUAGUCUUGUUUGUUCUGAUAAAGAAUAUGUAACGCUGAGAGGAACAAGGAGUGGUGGUGGGGAGAGAGAGAUAAAGGAAAUGCGUUAGAAGAGUGAGGAAAAACAUGAUAGAGGAGUGAGACAACGCGUACUUGGCUUUCAUUGUUUCCGUCAUUAUUCGUUUUUCUUUGUCUCGAGAUAUUCCCCAAUAAUGUCGACUUUUUUGGUAGAACGCGGUGGUGUGACUGCAGCCAAUGUGGUGUUGUAAUGUCGUUGUACGGGAGCGCACGCCCAGCAUACUAAUCUCUAGAGAAUCUCAUCUGCAAAAUUGAUGGUGUCCUCUAAUCGUUACAUCGCCAAUCUCUAUGAUAUAACGCCCGCGUUUAUGUUGGAUUCCCACUCUUCCUUCCGUCCGCGCGUUAGCCCCCCCCCCCGCCAUCAUAUUCGUGGGGGAUAGCGAAUGAAUUUGUGCCGUGCAACCGUCACGUUUAGUAUCUAUUGAUACUGUAAAUUUAGUACGGCAACUAGAGGGAGAGGGGCGCAUUGCCUGACUAGCAGUAAUACAAGUAACUGCUGCUUUUCUCGUGUUCCAUACCCGGGUAGGUAUAUCAAUAUCAAGAGUAGAUAAUAGAGAUCUACUCUUAAUCAAUAUUGAUAUACCUGCUCUGUCUAUAUGCAGGCGCUGGCGGCGGUGGUGUUACCUGUCGGGCUAUGCAGUAGUGUGCUCACAGAUCGGAAAAAUAAUUCUAUAUCCUGACAGCAUCAUGAUGAAGCGAUGUUUGUAUCAAACGUUUGUACACAACUCGCCUGACAGGUGUUUUUCGCCUAGCCGAUUCUAUCUACUUUAUAGUGGAAAUAUUAAUUAUGUGGUUGUAGUAUAUUGACAGCUGUGAUGGAGGCAACACUUACAGUGAAAUAUUUUUUGAGCUUGUACAUUUUAAUCGGUGAUGAGCAUUGCACGAAUAAACAUUGUCAUAUUCAGUAAAUGUAUUAUUUUCCUUGAAUGUUGUAGGAAAUGGAAAGAAUUUUAUUGACAAUUUUCCUAUGCGUUGUACAGUUUCCCGCCGAAUUUUUCUUUCUCGCAGAGAAAGUGAUUUCAAUGUCUAUAUACAUAGCUGGACUAACCUAUGAAUGAAUACGUGUAUAUGUUAUUCAUGCAUAAUAAAUUUAUGCUGGCUUCGUUA
This 5161-nucleotide unclassified non-coding RNA is filed under the name Priapulus caudatus. Its description in RNAcentral is "ras-related protein Rab-23-like, transcript variant X1". The record is from RNAcentral. Lineage: Eukaryota; Metazoa; Priapulida; Priapulimorpha; Priapulimorphida; Priapulidae.